ACGGCUUACCAAGCAACGAUGCAUNCCGACCUGAGAGGUGAUCGCCACCCUGGAACUGGAACCCGUCCAGAUUCCUUCGGGAGGCAGCAGUAGGGAUUUUCCGCAAUGGCGAAAGCCUGACGGAGCAACGCCGCGUGAGUGAUGAAGUCUUCGGAUCGUAAAACUCUGUUAUUAGGGAAGAACAUAUGUGUAAGUAACUGUGCACAUCUUGACGGUACCUAAUCAGAAAGCCACGGCUAACUACGUGCCAGCAGCCGCGGUAAUACGUAGGUGGCAAGCGUUAUCCGGAAUUAUUGGGCGUAAAGCGCGCGUAGGCGGUUUUUUAAGUCUGAUGUGAAAGCCCACAACCGUGGAGGGUCAUUGGAAACUGGAAAACUUGAGUGCAGAAGAGGAAAGUGGAAUUCCAUGUGUAGCGGUGAAAUGCGCAGAGAUAUGGAGGAACACCAGUGGCGAAGGCGACUUUCUGGUCUGUAACUGACGCUGAUGUGCGAAAGCGUGGGGAUCAAACAGGAUUAGAUACCCUGGUAGUCCACGCCGUAAACGAUGAGUGCUAAGUGUUAGGGGGUUUCCGCCCCUUAGUGCUGCAGCUAACGCAUUAAGCACUCCGCCUGGGGAGUACGACCGCAAGGUUGAAACUCAAAGGAAUUGCCCGCACAAGCGGUGGAGCAUGUGGUUUAAUUCGAAGCAACGCGAAGAACCUUACCAAAUCUUGACAUCCUUUGACAACUCUAGAGAUAGAGCUUUCCCCUUCGGGGGACAAAGUGACAGGUGGUGCAUGGUUGUCGUCAGCUCGUGUCGUGAGAUGUUGGGUUAAGUCCCGCAACGAGCGCAACCCUUAAGCUUAGUUGCCAUCAUUAAGUUGGGCACUCUAAGUUGACUGCCGGUGACAAACCGGAGGAAGGUGGGGAUGACGUCAAAUCAUCAUGCCCCUUAUGAUUUGGGCUACACACGUGCUACAAUGGACAAUACAAAGGGCAGCGAAACCGCGAGGUCAAGCAAAUCCCAUAAAGUUGUUCUCAGUUCGGAUUGUAGUCUGCAACUCGACUACAUGAAGCUGGAAUCGCUAGUAAUCGUAGAUCAGCAUGCUACGGUGAAUACGUUCCCGGGUCUUGUACACACCGCCCGUCACACCACGAGAGUUUGUAACACCCGAAGCCGGUGGAGUAACCUUUUAGGAGCUAGCCGUCGAAGGUGGGACAAAUGAUUGGGGUGAAGUCGAACAAGAGCNAGG
This 1231-nucleotide ribosomal RNA is filed under the name Staphylococcus aureus. Its description in RNAcentral is "bacterial SSU rRNA". It matches the Rfam family "Bacterial small subunit ribosomal RNA", at positions 260 to 1502 of the family's 1533-position model. Lineage: Bacteria; Bacillati; Bacillota; Bacilli; Caryophanales; Staphylococcaceae. The record is from RNAcentral.